UUCUUAUCAAGAGCAGGCGGAGGGACUGGCCCUAUGAUGCCCGGCAACCGGCUAUACAGCACGGUGCUAAUUCUUGCGGAAACGUAUGUUUCUGAGAGAUGAGAG
RNAcentral lists this non-coding RNA (105 nucleotides) under Paenibacillus sp. Its description in RNAcentral is "SAM-I sequence". It matches the Rfam family "SAM riboswitch aptamer (S box leader)". Rfam says of the family: The SAM riboswitch is found upstream of a number of genes which code for proteins involved in methionine or cysteine biosynthesis in Gram-positive bacteria. The SAM riboswitch acts at the level of transcription termination control. The predicted structure consists of a complex stem-loop region followed by a single stem loop terminator region. Lineage: Bacteria; Bacillati; Bacillota; Bacilli; Caryophanales; Paenibacillaceae. The record is from RNAcentral. RNAcentral also lists the same sequence under 1 other name.